RNAcentral lists this ribosomal RNA (274 nucleotides) under uncultured bacterium. RNAcentral's name for it is "partial 16S ribosomal RNA". It matches the Rfam family "Bacterial small subunit ribosomal RNA", at positions 523 to 796 of the family's 1533-position model. The record is from RNAcentral.
AUACGGAGGGGGCUAGCGUUGUUCGGAAUUACUGGGCGUAAAGCGCGCGUAGGCGGAUUGAUCAGUCAGGGGUGAAAUCCCGAGGCUUAACCUCGGAACUGCCUCUGAUACUGUCAAUCUUGAGUUCGAGAGAGGUGAGUGGAAUUCCUAGUGUAGAGGUGAAAUUCGUAGAUAUUAGGAAGAACACCAGUGGCGAAGGCGGCUCACUGGCUAGAUACUGACGCUGAGGUGCGAAAGCGUGGGGAGCAAACAGGAUUAGAAACCCUAGUAGUCC